Molecule: long non-coding RNA, 1092 nt
Filed under: Ficedula albicollis (Collared flycatcher)
Lineage: Eukaryota; Metazoa; Chordata; Aves; Passeriformes; Muscicapidae
Description: lncRNA (ENSFALG00000028397.1)
Source: RNAcentral
CAGCAUAAAAGAGAAAUGCUUUGUUCUGAAGCUCCUAAUCAAUUUUGAAAUUGCAGUACCAUAAUUUAAAAAUGGGUUACCAGGUUUAGGAAGCAAGACUUGCCUUACAGCUGAGGCCUUGGUUUCCACAGUUUAGUUUUUAGAAGCCCACAAGCAUUUUAAGAUGUGAAAUAGCUCCUUAAGUACAAACUAAGUGUGCCAGGUCCUGGACACAUUGCAAGCAUUAUGAGCCCUUUAUUCAUUUGUGAAUGGUGUUAAACAACAUCACCACCCAGUGAUGGUGUUAAAGCAGACUGGAUAAGUCCUGUAAGAAAAUAAGAAAGGCAUAAUUGCAUUUACAUGCCAACUUAAAUUCAUUCUGCACCUUUUGUCAUUUGAGGUCACUAAAUGGAGAAGCAAAUGUAAUUUCUGUCAUAUGGGAGAAAUUCCAAUGAAUUAGCAAAAUUGACCUUAAUAAACAAUAUGUAAUUGCAAGUGUAAUAUCUUCCAGAUAAAAGCAAUACCAUUUUGAUAGUUCAGACAAUGCUUUAAAAAAAUUUAACUACUUUAAAACAUCCCAAAUUUGUAGGCCAUGACAACUGGGUUUCAGAUCCCAACUUGUGUUUAUUCUAAACUUCCAGUGUAACCACAUCAGAGAGUCUUCCAGGCAUGAGGUCUUGCCCUUGUUUGCAUUCAAAUCAGCUGCAUUAAGUUGCUUAUCUUGAGGCUGAGUAAAUAAACUCUAGUUUUCUACUCAGACAAUGCUUAAUGAAGACCAAGACCCGGUUCUGCUACCAACCUCUGCUGAAGUGAUAGACUUUUAUGUGCAAUUAGCUGGCAUUUGGUUGGUUGCAUUAAUAGUGGUCUGCAGUAUUUAAUAAGGUGUUAUCCUAGGCUAACAUAGAAUGCUACCCUAUGUCACAAGUGCAGCACGUUUGGUGGAAUUUGUCCUCCUUAUGGUAUCACCAGGAUCCUUUUGGGUUAUUCUGAAGAUGUGUCCUCUCUUUUUCACAAAGAAGCUGCUAAGCAUGUGAGCUUUCUCAUAAUGCAAGAUGGGAAGAAAUCUGAAAUGGAAAAGUUUCUGAGGACAGGUAGGUGACCUGUUUUCCAAGC